AGCCAGUGUCCCGCGCUGCGCCUGGCCCCGAGCUCCGGCCCCGGCUUCCCUGUCCGUCCGGUCGCCCUGAUGGUCCCUCGAAGAGAAUUGGGUCGCCUUUGAAACAAUCCUCUGCCCCACCUCCUUGGAAAAUUGAUUUGGGAGUUGGGAAAUGGAGGCUUUCUUUUUUUCUUCCUUUCCUUCUUUAUUAUUAAUAUUUUGUAAAGCUUCAGUGCUAAGAGGAGUGGCCCCGAGCAAGGCCAGACUGCGCGGACGGCGGGGAGCGCAGCGGCUCCUCCCGGGUACGGCGCCAGCCGGCAGCGGCCGCCCGGGGACUCCGACGGUCGGCAGAGGUCUUGCUAAGCUGCUGAGGCUGGCCUUGAACUUGUGACUCUCUGACCUCACCCUCCCCAGUACUUGGGAUCAUAGAUGUGCACCACUGUGCCUGGCUUGAAAUAAAUUAAAAAAAAAAAAAAAGAUCAAAUACAUCAUGAGUCCUGAUUCCCAAACUGGGAAGCAACCCAGAUGUCCUUCAACAGGACAUGAAUCAUCCCUGGGUCCAGUGUAUCCACACGGUAUAUGCUACCCACUGGUUAGUCACUUAAUCACCAUUGUGAUGAUCAGAUUCCCUGUCAUGGCAUUGCAGUGCUUGUGCUUGAAUACUCUGUGCCACAAUGCCUACUUCAUUCACCACCCCCCCCUUCAUCUUGUCACUAGCCAUUGUCUCGUCACACAUCAUCACAAGAAGGGUGAGCACAGUAAAGAUAUUUUGAGAGACCACAUUCAUAUCACUUUUAUUACAGUCUGUUGUUCUGAUUGUUCUACUUUAUUAUUAGUUAUUACUGUUAAUUUCUUAUUGUGCCUAAUUUAUAAGUUAUUCAUUUACAAAUUAAACUCUAUCAUAGGCAUUCAUGGGGGGAAAAUUAUUUAUACACACACACACGUGUAUAUUUCAGUACUAUCUGGAGUUUCGGGUAUCUGCUGGGGCUCUUGAAAUGUAUCCCAUGGAUAAGGGGUCACUAGUGUAUAAGGUAGAUAAAUGUCCUUAUGUAUUUGUCAAAACCCAUAGAAACACAGGGUUCACACUCAGGUAAAAUUUAACUUCAGUUAAUAAUAAUGUAUCAAUAUUGGCUCACAUUGAUGGAAGAAGUUAACAGUAGGGGAGAGGGAGGAGAAGGAAUAUAUGGAAACUGUAC
Long non-coding RNA from Ictidomys tridecemlineatus (thirteen-lined ground squirrel), 1175 nucleotides. RefSeq lists it as uncharacterized. NCBI's taxonomy places the organism in Eukaryota, Metazoa, Chordata, Mammalia, Rodentia, Sciuridae. The record is from RefSeq and is a predicted model, not a curated record.